AAACAAACCAAAGAGACAAACAAUGCAGGCACGCGCGCGGUCUGUGUCUAUAAUCCUGUGCUCUGGAAGGUGGGGGAGGGAUCAGAUUCAAGAUUAUCCCUCACUAGCAAGGGCGCUUUAGGCCAGCCUGGGCUACAUGAAACAACAGUUGCAGCGGAGAAAGAAGAAACAGGACCACCUCCACAGCCACCAGGAAGAAGACGGAGAGAACCGCGGGGCCACAUUGCAGCCUCUUGUCACUCUGGCAGGACAUCCAUCCCCUCGGGUUCCUUCUUCACUGUGCAGAGUGGAGAAAGAAGCUCAUUCCAGAUGCAAGAUCUACAGCGUGAAGGAGCUUGAUAGCUAAAGCGAACCUUUAAAACCCAGAGGCCUUUCAGGUUUGCCUGUUUUGUGACAGGGCUCUCCAGACACAGUGAAGAGAGGUCCUGUCCACGGCCCGGACACGGUGGCACUUGGAGACUGGCCCUGGACUCGCCCAGGCCGGCUCUCUGGAGAUUGAGGUUCGCCCCGCCCCCACGCUGCAGCUCGCCCCUCCCCCACACCACGCCCGCCCCUCCCCCACGCCGCAACCGCAGUCUGGGCCGGAAGAGGAAUGCGAAUGCAGAAGGCACGCCCGCCCCGCCCUGCAGGCCUCCGCAGCAGCUGGUUCAGAAACUCAGCCUCACAACCUUGAAAAAAAAGACAGCCAGCCGGCGCCUGUGCUGGUCCAGGCCACCCAAUGGUUACUUCCUGUGCACUGAAGGUUGUCAACCACCCAUGCAGAGUGUAACCUCCCUGAAACCGAGCACAGGGGACAGCCUCCACCCUCAACACCAAUAACCCGACAGAUAGAUGGAAGUGUAAUAUAAGGACGGGAGAGAUGUUAAGGUCUAAGCUCACAAUCAAAAACAUAACUAUAAUUAUCCAGAAAUGUCUACAUUUAUAAGUAAUAUAAAUAUUUAAAUUAUGUCCCUCCCAAAA
Long non-coding RNA from Mus musculus (house mouse), 960 nucleotides. RefSeq annotates it as predicted gene, 36897. The record is from RefSeq and is marked validated. The transcript is spliced from 2 exons. NCBI's taxonomy places the organism in Eukaryota, Metazoa, Chordata, Mammalia, Rodentia, Muridae.